Phyllostomus discolor (pale spear-nosed bat) is the source of this 2606-nucleotide RNA transcript. RefSeq lists it as uncharacterized. The record is from RefSeq and is a predicted model, not a curated record. The transcript is spliced from 6 exons. NCBI's taxonomy places the organism in Eukaryota, Metazoa, Chordata, Mammalia, Chiroptera, Phyllostomidae.
AAACCACUGAGCCACGCCAGCCAGGGCUUGAAGUGCUUCUUCAUCCGGAGGUCCCACCCUCACAAGUGUUCCGCCCACCACCACAAGGUGGACCCAUCUCCCCGCUUUGUGCAUGGGUAUCUGAUGCUCAGUGUUGCGAUUCUAGUUGGGAAGAAGGUGCCUGGUCAGAGGAGGCCGGACAGGAUAUGAUGGGAAAAGAACCCCAGGACACGGGACUCCACUGCCAGAUUCAGACCUGCUUCCCACAUCUGAUGUAGCGGGAGGCUUCUGGACCAACCAGAGACCCUUGCCCUAUUGGCUAGUGCCUUGAGGCAUGUGCAUACAAGGGGCAUGCUGAUUGGCAGCGGGUUUUAGACCAAUAAAUGGGCUUCAGCCUGGUGUCAAAGGUGCGUGGAACACGCCCAUUGUUGCAGGACAAGUCAUGCGUUGCCUGUGGCAACCGACACGCAGCUUCCUCAGAAGGUUCAGUGCUCCUGCUGCCCGCCAGCUGACUCUCCCAUCAAGGCCACCUUGCCCGAGUAAUUGUCUCAGCAGAAGCUGAACUUUUCAGACUUGGCAACAUGAGCUCGCCCGACGAAGACGAGGGAUCUGUUUCGAGAGCAGAGGUAGACUCAGAGUGCAGGGAGAGGGCCGGCACAGUAGACCUUCCUUUGGGGUCACCACUGAGCAGCGAGGGCGGGGACAAGGGUGAGGGUGAGGGCGAGGGUGAGGGCGAGGGGGAGGGUGAGGUUGAGGUUGCAGGUGAGGGCGGGUUCCCACACCCCAAGGGCUUCCUGGCCCAACAGCAUGUGAUGGAGCAGGAGGGCUAGAGCAGCAGGACUGCGAAGGCCAAAUAGGAUCUCUGGCUGACUUUGAGGGGGACACUCCAGCCUACUUUGGCACUAGGUCUCUAGUGGGCAUUCCAGGGGGGCUGACUGAGGGAGAUACCCAGGGUGUUCACAGGAGCCCCUCCCAAGACCCUGUGACAGAGAAGUGUCCAUCAUGUGGUUGGACCCAGAGCCUGCUCCCAGUGGUACAGGCAUGGUGACCUAUGGCUUGGAGGGACUGCAGUUGGCCUCUGGCGCCCUGUUCCACCUCAGAGAGCCUAAGGGAGGCUUGGCCUGGGAAAGCCCCCCAAAAUGUGCUAGGUGUACAUCGAAAGCCAGUGGUAGUUACCAGCAUCCAUUUGAGGAAGAGGCGGAUUUCUCCCCUUGGCCCGUCUCCAAGUCACCGGAUGAGGUCAGUGAGAUGCCCCUGAUGAGGUUGAUUAUUUCUCAGGAUGAAGGAGGCCAGGCCAAACCCACCAGCCCCAAUGACACACCCGGUCACUCAAGAACCGACAUCAGGGAGAAGUUCCUUCCUGUGCCAGGGCCUUGCCUGUCCACUCCACAACGACUCACUUCAGGUGUGGAAAGGCAGGGUAUUGAUGAUCCAGAAGUGCCCUCUAAGAAACCAGAGAGUAUGAUCAGGGGGAAGGCUGGGGGAAGGCCCAACUACCUGCCCUUAGUUGCUGUUGCAGGUGGCCUGCCCAAGGCCAAUCCUAGAAGGAAAGUGUCCAAGCAGAAGACAUCUCAGUGGCGGACCGUAGAAGUUGCUCCUGGGAGUUUCUUUCCUCCCUGGUGGCAGAGAGACUCAGGAGGUCUGGAGGAGCCAGCCACCUUUCCUCCGAUCUCCGAUGUGCCUGGGAGGGGCAGGGGGCAUUCUUUGGUUCCUUUUGGAACCAAAGAGUCCAAGCCCACUGGCACAGGGCCAAAGUCAAUGACACGGAGGAGGAGGGUGUCCAAGCCUGUGGUGGGAGAAGAAGAUAAGGAACAGAAAAGAGAUGGAUUCCCAGAGAGCCAAUCUCUGACACAAGGGCAGAGACUAUCCUUUCCUUGUGGGCAUCGUGGACCAAGAGGCACUGUCACCGUGAACAACAGACACACCCAGGAUCUGGCACACUCAGAGCCCUUGGCACUGAUUGGGGAAGAAGUCUUGCCCAGUGGGCCUGCACCUUCCAGUGAUCUUGACCUUCCUGAAGAACCACGAAGACCAAAAAGGCUGCAAAAACCACAGCUAGAGCAACCACUUGGAGCAGAGGGUUGUCCUUGGUGCUGCCAUCUACAGAAGGAAAUAAGCUACUUGAAACAAUACUGUGGUAUGAGGAACAUGUGGCAUGGCCUGGGUCAGGGCCACCAGCAGACUUACCAUGGGGAGGGUGCGGGCUGCACGUCCCAGGGACCAACAUUCCUGUGGGGAGGUGAACCAAGCAGCUUGGACCUGGAGCCUGCUGUGCAUGCACAGCCAGUUUUCUGGACAAGGAGGAAAGUGUGGCUCAGAAUGCAAGCACAGUAUGCCAGCCCCAACCAGUCCUAGAGCUCUCCUUCCCUAGGACGUGUAGAGAUGCUGCCUCUCUGAUUUUCCCUUCAAUACUGCUGGCGGCCUUGCAGUCCCUGAUCGAGAGGUUCCUGAGACAUUAAUGUGGAACCAGAACCUUCACCCAAGAACAGCAGUUGGUACCCUGGAGCUGGGGAGCCCUGGCCAAGCUGGAUUCUUUCUGUUCCACUUCAGCCAGGGCUUCCUCGUACCCUUCUAUUGAUUCCUCACCACCUCGUUUGUCAAUAUUUUCACAUUAAAGUCUCCCUGAA